GCGCUGUCCUUCUUGGACUGCACACACUUUGCAACACUCUGAAGACCAGUGGCUUGGGACAGUGGGGGGUUUAUUGCCCUUAUUAUCUCCGUCAGCCCAUCUUCAUUCUUCAGUGCGUGUUAAUUGGUAUUAUCUCCGUGUUAAGGAAAUUGAUAGGCAAACACACCAAGCUCCAUUGCUCUCCAACCAGACCACCAGUCCUUGACUCCUCCUGUCAAAUUUCUGGAGCUGCCUCCCUAGUCACAGAGGACCAGACUCCAUGGGCAUCAGGACAUAAGGAGAGAGGAACAGGAAGGCUCUUUUCUUCACCUCAAUCCCACUGGGCUAACACUUGGGAUGGUCACUAGAGUUCACUCUGUACUGUAUGUUUCUGGCUCUAGAAUUUCAAGUUCUACUUAGACUCCUAUCUGAAGGCGGCUCCCCAUUGAGGUAAAAGAAGAGGUUUGAACUUAAGAGCACAAUGCACAGGUCUUUUCUGAUCUGAACAAUGGCUAUAGCUGUGGCUCCCCAAAUCCAGACUCCUCAAGUACAAGAAGAGCUUCAAAGAGUGAAGCCCGAAGAUUCCCACUGGGAACAGAAAGUUUUCCUUCAAAGGCAUGACCCUGGACCUGAGACGUGCCAGCGCUUUUGGUAUUUUCACUAUCAAGAAGCAUCUGGACCCCGGGAGGCCCUCAACACCUGGAGUUCUAUCAUCAAUGGCUGAGACCAGAGAAGUGUAUGAAAGAGCAGUUCCUGGACUUGCUAGUCCUGGAACAGUUCCUGUCCUUCCCCAGGAGAUCUAGAUCUGGGUUAGAUAAAAGCAUCCACAGAGUGGAGAGGAGGCAGGAAUCUGCCCUGGUGGAAGAUUGGCAGGAAGAACCUGGAAGACAGGAGCGGCAGGCAGUGGUGGCGAUCUCACAGUCAGAACCAGAAGACCAGAUGAUCCACAGUCCCAAAGUGAAACUCGGACCCUUCCACAAGAUCAGUAAGCAGCAACAGUGUGGGGAGAGAGAAGGGACCCUUCCGUGGGGAGAAUGUGAAACCCCUUCCGACUGCAGGAAGUGGGGUAGAGGGUACAGCGCCUUCCCCUCGGAGGAUGUGGUAAUGAGCUGAGGCUGACCACAGGCCCCUCCAAAAGGAAGAAGGGCUUUGGUUGGCGUGUUUUGUAAAACUACGCAGCAGAGCCUGUGGCUCCUGUUGAGAAUGAGGCACUGCUAGUCCUAGUACACAAGGUGUGGGUAACAAUUUUAAGCCUGGUUGGUAGGAAAGGCACAGGUAGGGCUAGACUGGAGCAGAGUAAUUCUCAAGACAGGUGGGUGUCCCCAAACCAAUUCAGAUGAUUCACAUGUGUUAUCAAAAUUGGGAGUUCCCGCAGUGGCACAGUGGAUACGAACCUAACUAGUGUUCAUGAAGAUGCGGGUUCAAUUCCUGGCCUCUCUCAGUGGGUUAAGGAUCUGGCGUUGCCAUGAACUGUGGUGUAGGUCGCAGACAUGGCUCAGAUCUGGCAUUGCUGUGGCUCUGGCUUGACCCCUAGCCUGAGAACCUCCAUAUGCCGAGAGUGCGGCCCUAAAAAGACAAAAGACAAAAAUAAAGAAAUAAAGGAUCCAGCA
This 1589-nucleotide long non-coding RNA is filed under the name Sus scrofa (pig). Its description in RNAcentral is "lncRNA (ENSSSCG00070017512.1)". Lineage: Eukaryota; Metazoa; Chordata; Mammalia; Artiodactyla; Suidae. The record is from RNAcentral.